AAAUUGAAGAGUUUGAUCAUGGCUCAGAUUGAACGCUGGCGGCAGGCCUAACACAUGCAAGUCGAACGGUAGCACAGAGAGCUUGCUCUUGGGUGACGAGUGGCGGACGGG
Molecule: ribosomal RNA, 111 nt
Filed under: Klebsiella michiganensis
Lineage: Bacteria; Pseudomonadati; Pseudomonadota; Gammaproteobacteria; Enterobacterales; Enterobacteriaceae
Description: partial 16S ribosomal RNA
Rfam family: Bacterial small subunit ribosomal RNA
Source: RNAcentral